RNAcentral lists this transfer RNA (77 nucleotides) under Chloroflexota bacterium. Its description in RNAcentral is "Chloroflexi bacterium tRNA-Arg". It matches the Rfam family "tRNA". Rfam says of the family: Transfer RNA (tRNA) molecules are approximately 80 nucleotides in length. Their secondary structure includes four short double-helical elements and three loops (D, anti-codon, and T loops). The record is from RNAcentral. Lineage: Bacteria; Bacillati; Chloroflexota. RNAcentral also lists the same sequence under 3 other names.
GCCCCGCUAGCUCAGCUGGAUAGAGCAUCUGCCUUCUAAGCAGAGGGUCGGGGGUUCGAGUCCCUCGCGGGGCGCCA